UACGGAGGGGGCUAGCGUUGUUCGGAAUUACUGGGCGUAAAGCGCACGUAGGCGGCUUUGUAAGUUAGAGGUGAAAGCCUAGGGCUUAACUCUGGAAUUGCCUUUAAGACUGCAUCGCUAGAAUCGUGGAGAGGUGAGUGGAAUUCCGAGUGUAGAGGUGAAAUUCGUAGAUAUUCGGAAGAACACCAGUGGCGAAGGCGACUCACUGGACACGUAUUGACGCUGAGGUGCGAAAGCGUGGGGAGCAAACAGG
This 253-nucleotide ribosomal RNA is filed under the name uncultured bacterium. RNAcentral describes it as "partial 16S ribosomal RNA". It matches the Rfam family "Bacterial small subunit ribosomal RNA", at positions 524 to 776 of the family's 1533-position model. The record is from RNAcentral.